CAAAAAAAAAAAAAAUAAAUAAAAAAAUCUGUAUUCUUUCAUAAUUUUUUGUAAUAUAUACCUCUUCCCUUCGUUUACUUUCUUCCUCACCUUUGUAUCUCCUUUUCUGUAUGAAUGU
This 118-nucleotide non-coding RNA is filed under the name Platyophrya macrostoma. The record is from RNAcentral. Lineage: Eukaryota; Ciliophora; Colpodea; Cyrtolophosidida; Platyophryidae.